Molecule: ribosomal RNA, 253 nt
Filed under: uncultured bacterium
Lineage: Bacteria
Description: partial 16S ribosomal RNA
Rfam family: Bacterial small subunit ribosomal RNA
Source: RNAcentral
UACAGAGGUCCCGAGCGUUGUUCGGAUUCAUUGGGCGUAAAGGGUGCGUAGGUGGCGCCGUAAGUGGGGUGUGAAAUCCCGGGGCUUAACCCCGGGACUGCAUUCCAUACUGCGGUGCUUGCGGACUGGAGAGGAGACUGGAAUUUACGGUGUAGCAGUGAAAUGCGUAGAGAUCGUAAGGAAGACCAGUGGCGAAGGCGGCAUCCUGGACCGGCAUUGACGCUGAGGAGCGAAAGCCAGGGGAGCAAACAGG